CUCCACCCGAGACUCAGUGAAAUUGAACUCGCUGUGAAGAUGCAGUGUACCCGCGGCAAGACGGAAAGACCCCGUGAACCUUUACUAUAGCUUGACACUGAACAUUGAGCCUUGAUGUGUAGGAUAGGUGGGAGGCUUUGAAGUGUGGACGCCAGUCUGCAUGGAGCCGACCUUGAAAUACCACCCUUUAAUGUUUGAUGUUCUAACGUGGACCCGUGAUCCGGGUUGCGGACAGUGUCUGGUGGGUAGUUUGACUGGGGCGGUCUCCUCCUAAAGAGUAACGGAGGAGCACGAAGGUUGGCUAAUCCUGGUCGGACAUCAGGAGGUUAGUGCAAUGGCAUAAGCCAGCUUGACUGCGAGCGUGACGGCGCGAGCAGGUGCGAAAGCAGGUCAUAGUGAUCCGGUGGUUCUGAAUGGAAGGGCCAUCGCUCAACGGAUAAAAGGUACUCCGGGGAUAACAGGCUGAUACCGCCCAAGAGUUCAUAUCGACGGCGGUGUUUGGCACCUCGAUGUCGGCUCAUCACAUCCUGGGGCUGAAGUAGGUCCCAAGGGUAUGGCUGUUCGCCAUUUAAAGUGGUACGCGAGCUGGGUUUAGAACGUCGUGAGACAGUUCGGUCCCUAUCUGCCGUGGGCGCUGGAGAACUGAGGGGGGCUGCUCCUAGUACGAGAGGACCGGAGUGGACGCAUCACUGGUGUUCGGGUUGUCAUGCCAAUGGCACUGCCCGGUAGCUAAAUGCGGAAGAGAUAAGUGCUGAAAGCAUCUAAGCACGAAACUUGCCCCGA
RNAcentral lists this ribosomal RNA (783 nucleotides) under Salmonella enterica. Its description in RNAcentral is "partial 23S ribosomal RNA". It matches the Rfam family "Bacterial large subunit ribosomal RNA", at positions 2020 to 2802 of the family's 2925-position model. The record is from RNAcentral. Lineage: Bacteria; Pseudomonadati; Pseudomonadota; Gammaproteobacteria; Enterobacterales; Enterobacteriaceae.